Molecule: long non-coding RNA, 4362 nt
Organism: Ornithodoros turicata
Lineage: Eukaryota; Metazoa; Arthropoda; Arachnida; Ixodida; Argasidae
Exons: 3
Source: RefSeq, a predicted model, not a curated record
UCGCGUCGUGGAAACGUUAUCCUAUGCUCUUGCUGUAUCAGGCAAACCACGGUGCAAGCUGGCUGUUCUCCGUGUUGAUCCCAUUAGUAGACGACAGAAUGGCAGCGACCUCGCUAUCUCACUAUCAAAUAUUCGUCAUUUUCGCGUGCGGCCUUUGUACAGCAGUUCGCAUUCUGGCACCACCAAAAUGCUUGCACUCCACGUCUCAACUAUCACCGUCUUGGUUUCAAGCUGAAGGCUGUCACCAGUGCGAACCAGACGCCCCUUCACAGUUCAUCUGUUUUUGUUGACGAAACAAUGACACCUGGUACUGAAACAUUUCAUUUUCUGAUGAAUCAAGUGCAUUGCAUCACUUGUGCUCGACUUCUUUUAUUCGUAUAUACCCUUGCUGUUGCUCUCUAGCUUAGAGCAACCAUGCCUGAGGCGUUUAUGUUCUUACUCCAGCGCUUUCAGAUUACACUUAAGCAGUAUCAUCGUAUCAUAUGCACGGCCGCACAUCUUGUGUAUUUUGAGUAACGUAUAAAUUAAAAUGUUGGCUCAGCGGUUGUAUUUUGGCCACAAAUAAGGUGCUCUUCCAGAGCCCUCAAGGGCAGUUCAAGCAGUUUCAUAUGUGCAACAGCACCUACCUUUUCUCAGUUUUGACUAAGGUAAAUAGAAAUCUUCCAGUUGAUGUCUUUCAGUCAUAAAUUAUGUUUUUCGAGAAGUUUCAGGAUUACAUUCAAACAGCAUCAUGUGUGCAACAGUGACAUUCUUUUUCUCAGGUGAAGUGAGGUAAACCUGUCCGCUGUUGUGUUCUGGCAUUGCAGCAGAAGCUUGUGUUGCAUCCAAGUGGUAUCAUGUAUACAAACCUUUGCCUUUCUGUAACUGCUGUACUGGAAUUGUGAGUACAGAGACAUUCCUGCAGAACAUAUCGGAGCAUCUUGUGUGCUAUUGUUGAUAUGAUCUGCAGCACUAUAUUGAUAAUGUUAAUUAUUCAAUGACUUCAGCUAACAUUUACAUUCUUACUUCCAGGUAAACCUGUCACGCAGAUGCCCUACCCCUUGGUAUGCUUAGUUCAAGAAUGUACCGAAACAAUCAACCUGGAGCAUUAUUUUUCAAUUAUUGGCAGUGGCAUUACUAUCACAACACACCACACACUGCAUGUCUAAGGUGCGUGUACAAUACAUUAGACCUAUUCUCAGGUACAGGCGAGCUGGUACGCAAUUACAACAUGAAACAACUCACACAGAUAUAGUAAAGUCAUGGCUUUUCCUCCGCGCCUCGGGUUUCAUGUUGUUAUCCUCACAUGAAGCUCAUUUCGGCUGUGCUGUGGAGCAUGAGCAAAUGCACAUAUUGUUGUUGGUCACAUGACACGAGAUAUAAAUACAGUGAAACCUUCCUAUGGUGAACACCCGCGGUGCAGCCGAAGCGUGUCCUACUUAUAGAGGUGUCCGAGUUACAGAAUAUGAGAGAAACGAAAAAUGGAAAAGAUCACAGCUGUGUUGCCAGUAAUGUCCCCCUUCUUCAAUUUAUGUUCCUUAGUGGUACCAGGUGGUGGUGCCUGGUAGUGGUACCUGGUGGUAGUGGCACCUCUAACCACUCUUCAUUGGUAAUUAUUACUGAUUUUGGUAGAUUCAAUUCCGUUCAGAUUCCACUCAAUAGCAUUACCUCUGGAGCUUUUCGAGCAGCAAGGACUUUUAUCUGAAGCGUCAGCCCGCUUUUCAUUGCUUUUGUGCAGUGCGCGUUCAACGGCUCUAGGCAAACCGAAGACAAGUGCUUACACAAAGAAUUGCAAUGUAGACUGACAGCACUUGUUUUUGGACUCGAAAAACUAAAACAAGAAAAUGCUGAGGCCAGUAUAGGGGAAAAAGGGGGACGAAAGUCGAGGCGACUGGCUCAUUUGGGGUCUUUUUGGUGCAAAGAUGGUCCGAGAUUGAGGUAAUUUGGCAAGGGUUUUGUCCAACUUAGCAGGGAAAACCCUGUCCUACUUCCGGGAUAGGAAGGUGUCCGACAUAGACAAUUUCGUUCCCAUGUAGUUUCAAUGGGAGCCUGCCCGUGCAAUGAAGUCGUGGGGAGUUGUUCGAGGUAGGGAGGUGUCCGACUUUUGAGGUUUUACUGUACUAUACAUCAUUCUACAUCAUGUAAUCUAACAGUUGUUCACGUUUGGAUAUUUUAGCCAUGAAAUUUACCCUGCAUGCACCAUACCAUGUCCAAACACGAACAACUGCUAGACAGCAGUAUGUACUGUACUGUAUGUACUCUAUGCAGUUCCAGAAAUAAAUAAAUAAGGAAAAUUAAGAAAUAAUAAAUAAAGAAAAAGAAAAGAAAGAAAGAGAAAAAUAGGAAGGAAUAAGAAAUAAAUAAAGAAAGAAAAUUAAGAAAUAAGAAAUAAAUAAAAAGAAAAAGAAUUAGGAAAUAAAAGAAGAUAAACUAACAAAUGAUGAAUGAGGGAUGAGGCAGAUUAAAGACAAAGAUGACACACAAAAAAAGAUGACUAACAAACGGUGAAAGAAUGAUGAGAUGGAUCACAGAAGAUUACUUUAAAAGGAAAGCAUGAGGUUAAAGGGACUCUGACUAGAAACUGUGGGAGCUCUUUCGUACUUGCACUCGAUAAAGCACCCAACAAGGACUCUCCAUGCGAAAAUUCAUGCAUUAAAACCCCGCGGUUUCUCUAAACUCGAAUUUUAAACAUUCGACUUCAUCCGAGUGCAGCACGCCUAGCGUCAAACCGAGAAAACAUACGUUUAUAUAAAAUAUCCACCCCGGUCCACCAUCAAGAUGACGUCAACACGGGGGCCACUCGCAACACCCACAGUUGGCUCAAAUGCGUCACGUGGUCACGCAAUAGCUGUCAAUUUCCUUCAUGAAAUGGCAUUUCUAUGUUAAUAUGUUUUUAUUACAGAGCCUCAAAAAGAAAAAUAUACCCUGCAUUUAUCACCUGCAACAGUUUCUACGAUUUUCUUUUCAAUCUGUACACGCGUUUCAUAUAUGCUUCCGUAUCCGGCCAGCUGUAAUGGAUGCCGUAUGCCGAGCUUGGGAACUGCGAACUUGUGGGACUCCCGGUUCAUCCUCUUUGUUCGAGUCAUUGGGUUGGUGUCGAAGUUGGUCGCCAUAUACUGAACGUUUCACCUAUCGUUGCGGUGUACUGUUCUUGAUCUGCUGCGAAGCGACGAACCGCAACGGCAGUCACUCGCCUCAGCGAAAUUCUGUCUGCUGCAUCUCAAAGGAGCAUGGGGACCACUGAUGAUACCUUCAACUAAAGAAACCAAGUGUGCUCUCGUGUGGUCCUGACGGAAAAGUAGUUUCAACAAGGGUAGCAUAUUUAUUUUUCAGUUCCAAGUCUACGUACUGAAAACCAUGCAAGUGCAGUCGAUCAUUCUCGUAGCUGUUGUGUAACGCGUAUGCUUUCUUACGUAUCCCACAGAACCCUCCACUUUUUCAACCAAGUUAUCUUUAUGAGAUCCUUCUGGUGGCUUCUUACUAGGCUAUGCCGCUCCGAAGCAUUGAGGUGGGGAAGCGUCGUGGCAGCUGCACCUCCGCUUUCGAAAGAUGAAACAGUCUUUCCACACUGUGCGUACUGGCUUUGUAUAGAGUCUGGCAAAUCCGAUAGAUUUGGACUGCCUUUUUCAAGAAAGUUUGAAAUAGCAUCCCUUAUGCACCUGCAUUUUAAUUCCAAUCUGCAUUACAAGAAUGACAGACCACUCAACAGAGAUGAACAUCUGAAAGUGAAAGAGCUGGAACGAAGAUACGUUAAUCUGUGUGAAAGGUGCUUAGUAUGUGUGUGAGUCGAGGACAGAGGUCUCAAGCUGAUUCCUGUCUUCAGAAGAGGUGACAACUAUGCUGCUUCUAUCUAUUAACCAGCUCCACUUUUUAGGGUUCCCUGUAAACUAAUGGAGCACAUCAUGUACAACCACGUUGUCAACCAAGUUGAGUCUGUCGGUUUCUUUUUUUAAAUUCCAGCAUGGCUUUAGAAAAGGGUAUUCAGGCAAAACUAACGUAGUGGAAUUCGUUCACAGCAUUUUCGACAGUCUUGAUUUCUGGGUCCACAUAGAUGUAGUAUUUUUUUAUUUUGUAAGGGCUUUUGACACUGUGCUGUAUGCUCGCGUGUUGGCCAAAGUAGCCUAAUUAAAAUUUGAUCCUGCUACCAUUAAUGGGAUAUGCAGUUUCUUGACUAACCGCAACCGUGCUGCCAACAAUUCGUGAGGAGAACUUAUCAUAUCGCCACCAUGCAGCGUUUGUCACGUUACAUUUGCAUCACAUUUUAAUCUAGUCAAAAACAAGGCCUUUUGGUGAUCGGUCUUGUAUGAUUACAUGCCCCUCCGUUAUGUAACCCCACACUGGGUUCUUCAACCUAUGAGAGAUAAAUAAAUAUAUUUCCAAGUA